CGCUUCUUGUGUAUAUAAUAUAUGAAGUAUAACCUGCCCACUGAUAUAAAUUUAAAGGGCCGCGGUAUUUUGACCGUGCAAAGGUAGCAUAAUCAUUAGUUUUUUAAUUGGGGACUGGUAUGAAUGGUUUGACGAGGAAUAAUCUGUUUCUUAUUAAUAUAUUAUUGAAUUUAAUUUUUAAGUUAAAAAGCUUAAAUUUUUUUAUGGGACGAGAAGACCCUAUAGAGUUUUAUAUUUUUUAUGUAUAAUCAGUUUGUUAAGUAUUUAUAAAUUAGUAUAUAAAUAAUAUUUUAUUGGGGUGAUAUUAAGAAUUAAAUAACUCUUAUUAUUAAUAAUACAUUUAUUUAUGAUAAUAUGAUCCAUAUUUAUUGAUUAUAAGAUUAAAUUACCUUAGGGAUAACAGCGUUAUUUUUCUUGAAAGGUCUUAUUGAUAGAUAAGUUUGCGA
RNAcentral lists this ribosomal RNA (446 nucleotides) under Archiblatta hoeveni. RNAcentral's name for it is "partial 16S ribosomal RNA". Lineage: Eukaryota; Metazoa; Arthropoda; Insecta; Blattodea; Blattidae. The record is from RNAcentral.